CACUUGUUAGUAGUGGAAAAUUUUACCCUCAAGCUUAUAAAUCUUGAGAAGAAUUGCAACCACUUACAGAUCAGGAGAUGCUACAGUCCUUCUUUAGGCAGGGUGGGUUGACAAAAUCACCAGGGCCAGCGAGGAAAUUUCGCAAGGGCCAUUCUUCCACUGACCACAUCCCAAGGAAGAGACUCAUUUUGGUCCAGGAACACCCUUCUCUCCCAGCAGGAUCUCAAGAUCACAGAUAGUAUUCCCAGUACGAACAGUGUUCUGUCCUAAGUAUUUAAUCUGUAGAUUUAACCUUUUCUUGACCUUGCUUUGCAGAAUGCAGGUGGCUGGGCCUUACGAGGGAGCCUUUGAGAAGUUAUUUUGGUGAAAAGCUGGCUGCCACCCACUGUGCUUCUCUGCCAGCCGCCGUGCUCCUUCACUCUCACCACACCUCUCUCAUCCUCAAGAUAUUUGAAGAGUUUGUAUUCAAGGUGUGGAACAUCCGUGUGAUCCAGCCUGUAAAAUACCAUCGUGGAAGGAGGGCUCUUGGGUUGCAAAUGGGGAUGCUGUGGCCAAAACUGAAGCUGAAGCAUGGGCACCUCAGCACAUCUCCACCAAGUCUCAAAACACAGGCCAUUAGCACUUUAUGUUGCCAGAGGCCUCAGUGGGAGUGCAGAAUGCAAGUUGCCCCUCCAAUGACUUGCUUACAUGGAGUUUGCCUGAUGGGCACUGAGAGCCAAAUGAGAUGAGUCCCACUUGUCACAUAUAUGACCCACUGGAGCCAGAAUCCUGCUUUCACAUUUUCAAGGAGCUCAAGUGAGCAGUAUUUAUACUAAGAAUUUAUGGAUAUAUAACUUAACAACCGAGACAUUGUUACUCUGCUUAUUCAACUACACUUGGAGCUAACAGAAGACCUUCUCUCCAACGCAUCUUUCUGUUGAGCUUAGAUCUGAAGACAUUGAAAAUAAUUGCAUUAAACUUGAUGAAAAUUUUUGCAAAAUUAAUACCUGAAGCUGAUUCUUCUUGUCAACAGUACCUAAGAAGCUCUGAGAUGUCCACGAUGGACCUACAAGUAAUUUGUCUAAAUGGCAUCUGUGUUACACACUGAAAGAGUAAUAAGGAAACAAAUAAAGACCAAUCAACCGACCUAAUAACCCACAUCUCCUGCUCUGCCAGCAUUGUAGAUCCUGACAGUGUUUGCCUAAAACAACAUUCCCAGCUGCAGUCAGCCACAUGCACACAGAAAUGUUAGCUACUUGCUGCAGAAAGUGUUAUGAAUAUCGUUAAUGGAAAUUGCAUGGUGUUGGUAGCAGGCUAGAACUCAGACAACCUUUAGGAAGUAGCUGAGAGAAGAAAUCAAAGCUGUUGAACAAACAUUAAUAUUUCCUUCAGUUGUGUGAGACUCCUGUGAAGAUUUACAUAAUUAAUCUUCAGCAACAAAACAUUUAUAAUGCAGUUUAAUAAUCUGGGUGAUAGACAGGUCAUGUUAAUUACCAUCUUUCUUCCUGGUUUUAAAAGCCACUGUUCUCGAGCUCUUAGCUCAGAAGUGACUGGCUUGUAUCAGCUUGAAGUCAGAGCGGGUCUGCAGAUGAUUAAUGCCUGAAUGCCUGACACCAGCCAAGGAUCUGCGGGACACGUCCGAGCCCUUGCCCUGCCACAGGCUUUGAGUGCAUCUGGGAGCAAGUGGUCUUGGACACACUUCUACAUUGCUGAUAUCCCAGCAGCUGAUAGCCCAGCAACUGCUAUUUGAGAUCCCAGUUGCAGGUCUCUGUCUGAGAGAUCUGUUGUUGUUAAAUCCUAUUGUGUCGUCAUCUGCUGAAGAGGUGCCAGCUUCUUGUGGGAGGAGGGCAGGUGGAAGCGAACAGCUUGAGUGGCACUUCUGGUCAUCACCAAGAACCUGUUGCCUAACUAUUAUGAAGGCUUUUCUGGCUCUCCUGUACAAGGUCAGAGUAGAGGAAGGGUUUCAAGGACAGCGCUAUGGUGGGUUUUACACCUGUUAGGUGAGGUGCUCCAUGUACUACCAUGGGGGAGAACAUGGUAGAAAAGAAAAAGAGAUUCAAGGGAGCAGCAUUGACUGAGGUAAAUGGGAGACAGAAAUUGCCUUUUCAGUGCUGAAAAGAAGAUGAUUAGCUGUUAGGAGGAAUAUCUUUACUCAGAGGGUGGUGGGGCACUGGAGCAGAGAGGUUUUGGGUACCCCAUCCAUGGAGGCAUUAAGGGCCAGGUUGGAUAGAGCCCUGGGCAGCCUGAUCUGUUGAAUGGCAGCCCUGCCCAUGGCAGGCUGUGGAACUGGAUGGACUUUAAGGUCCCUUCCAAACCAAGCCAUUCUGUGAUUCAUUCUAUGAUAGCACAGGGACAAGAAGCCUUCACACCAAAGAGAAGGAGCAGCUAGUGGAGGUAUAAACUUGAGAGCUGACAGUCUGUGAGAGCAAUCUCCAUAGUGGUGCUAUAGAGGAAUGCUGGCAAGGCAAGGCUCUGGUAGUGGUAAAGGAAAGGAUGCUGUGAUAACCAAGACCCCAGAUAAUGAGUGCCUGGUUGAGAGUUUUAGUUGUGUAACUGGAUAAGCAGGCCUGGAUUCUACUUUAGCUUGAAGAAAAGAUGAAUCUGUAAGGUAUAGGCUAAAUGUGAGAAGUUCACACUCAGACUGAGAACUUGAUGUGGGAAAAUAGUGUUAUCCAACUGCUUGAGAAAGAGCUGUCAGGAAGAACUGGGCUUUGACAGGAAGAGCUGUGCUGCAGUCAGGCACAGCUGGCUGACCUCUAAUGAGCUGCUAACCAAGCAGGUAUUGCAGUUUGGGCAGGAAGAGACCUUUCCUAUGAGAGAGAAUCCAUCAGUAAAGGAAAGAGCCAGCCAGGCAGUGGUGCUGGUAAACUAAAUUUCCAAAAAUUAAAGGGUGGAAGGAAAGAGGAGGGCAAAUCCAUGGAAGCAAAGAGAAGGAGCAGGUCUGGUGGUAAUGCAUGAGGCUGGAGAGCUAGGAGGGCUGGAAUGCGGAUGUGGCUGCCCACAGGGCUGGGAGGAAGCCAGAGAGGCAGGCUGGAGGUCAGGAUGGUUUCCUAAGGUGUGAACUACUGCCUUCGAGGAAAGGGCCACAGGGCAGAAGGUAUGGAAUAAACCAGGAAAAUAGAACUUUAAGCUAAUUUAUCUGAUAAGCUAUUAUAUAUGAGAAUAUUUGUGCUCUUUUACUCUCUUAAUGUGGUAUUCAUCAGUUACUAGGCAUGUGUGAGCCAAAUUGGUGGGUCAAGAAGUCCCUUAAAACAAUCGCUGUCUCGAGAGACUAGAAGAUAAAAGCAGUUUCUAGGAGUGUCUUCUCCUUCCAGGUUUUUCAACUUGGGCUUUUUAGGUAAGAAAGGGUGACUGAGCUUCUGUGAGUCAAAAUGUGUUUGGUCUCCUUACCCUAGUAAUCCUGCAAAAUGCAUACUGUAGGAAUGCUUGUAUGCCUUUGUAUCCUGUGCUAUCUUGGUGCCUGCAUCAGCACAGUCAGAAAAGCAGAAUUUCACCCUACAAGAACUGGUAUCCUGGCAUCAGACUGUGCAUUGUAUAAUGCUUUUGGGAGAAGGUUUUAGUGCACUCAUUUGAUGCUCUGGUGCCUGAAGUGGGUGGAAAAAAAAAAAAGAAAAAAGAAAGAAGAAAUCAAAUAGGGAUCUUGAUAAAUAGAAUUUCAGAUCUUGCAUAAUAUCAGUCAAUGGCAACAGCAGGUGUUUGAUAGUACUGUGAACUUCCUUGGAAUGGGAUCCUGCCAACAUGGCUGUGAUUCAGUGCAAUGAUUCAGUGACUGCAGGACGGUAUCCUGCCAACCAGCCUUCCAGCAGAAAAUUGAUCACCCCACUGCAAACACUGCCAGUCCAUUAGCAUUUCAAAUUUUGUCUAUCUGCAUGGCAGUAGAAACCGUGCAUCUCCUCCAGGUAAUGGAAGGAGGGAGAAAAAUUCCCUUUUCUCCCAGGAAAGGAUGAAAUUAUCAGCUGCAGUGUUAUCUCAAAGAGGAACAUGGAACAUGUUUUCUCUGAGGAGUUUAAAGAAAUAGUUUCCUUUCACUACCCAAGCUCUGCUUUUCCUUCCAUCUCCAACCAGGAACCUUAUGAAGACAAGAGAGUCCCAUCAGCUUUCACUUAUGCCUUACAAACUGUGCAGAGAUACUACCAACAUCCUGAGUUGAGCAAGGAAACUCACAGAGCUGUUGUUUGCAUUCUCCUUUACAGAUAUUUUUUGACUGCUUCCUUGCACAUGGGCAAGCACUGCUGUACUCCCUGCUGUCCGCCCAGUGCCUCCACAGAGCCCUCCGAGCUCUGCAAUAUGGAUGCGUGCAUACAAGGCCCCACUAGAGACAACCCGCACAUGCUGAUACCAGCCCUCACCUUGAAGUGAGUAUGUGAGAUGAAACUUCCUCCAAGUAAACUCUGCACCAGGGAUGCAGUGCUGGGGAAAGCAAACAAGAUUUAGCUCAGCUCUCCUAUUGCUCCAUUUUCCCGUUGUGUAGCAGAAAGAAAACCCAGACUGAAGCUGAGAAGCAAUUCUCAGUGCUGCUGCUGUAAUCUUUGUUACAGCACAAUGUUCUCAUCCUUGCCCAGCUCUUUCAAACCUGCUGUAAUAUGAAUAAUGAUCUACUCCACUUAGGGCGACUUUGUUAAAUACUUUGCCUUUAUCGUCGGAGCUGCGUAGCCGUCCAGGAUCAAAAGGGACUCUUUGAGAGAUGAUUAGAGCAGGAGGGGAGGGUUUAGCGGCCUAAGCACUGCAUUUGCAAUAAUUAGGCUCCCUGGUGUGAUAGGUUCAAAUCCUAGCAGGGUUGACUCAGCCCUUCAUCCCUCUGAGGUAGAUUAAAUGGGUUUUCUGUAGUAGGGUCUAUUGGACAAGACCUUAAAAAAUGCACAGACACAUCAGUUUCUCCUUUGUGCUCCAGAGCUGAAUGUUACAAAUACAUAAAACAGAAAUUCGGAGUGUUUCACGUAAACCCAGCUGUCUGCCCAAGGACUGCUUGCCCACACCUGUGCUCACUGUUGCAGUGAUCACAUCGCUUUCCCACCUGCCAACCUCCUUCCCACAGGGGCUUCUCGGUGGAAGUCAUCUUGUAGUGAGGGCAGUGUUUGGGGUAAAGCAAUGCAGUAUGAACGUAUCCUGUUACUAAACAGAACCAUCAACCUCUAAUUUCUAGAUUACUCUUUCAAAACAAGCACUUUGUACUAUGCAUUGAUAUUCUCUCUCUUGAGAGUGUCUAACCACAACUCCCACAGUGGUCCCAGCCAUGAGUCGAACCAGAGCACAGGUUAAUGUAGCACAACACACUGAAAAAGACUUAAUUCUAGUUUUACAAACACCAUCAUAAAAGCUUUUCUAGGACGACUCCAGUUCUGUAGGAAGUAUUGUUGUCACAUGUCUGUUUGGCCUGCAUAAGAAGCCAAGUUCAUUGUCAGUAGGGAAUUGUUCAAGAGGAGUUUGUCAUCCCAGAGCAAGUUCUUGGGAUUCAUUGAGAAGGUAAAGGAAAGGGUGCUUCAAUCUUGCAUCCCAGGGCUCUCCUUGGCACGGACAAAUCCACACCAAAGAUGGUGACAGUGAAGAGAGGGAUCAUGAACAAAACACGUGGAAAAGCUCUUUACGGAGUCGGAAGUUGAGCACGGGCAGGCAGGCAAGAAGAGAUGUGGAAGGGUAUCCAGGCAAGGGAAGAGUUGGGUUGACACAGAAGACAAGCAUGCAGAAGAGGAAAAGGGCUAGGGAGUAGUACUGACAGGGGUAAAAGACACAGAAAAGGCUAUAGAAAAUAUCACUGGAACUGAAUGAUGGGGGAUGUUCCAUUUACACCUAAUGGUCGUGUUUUGUUUGUAGAGAAGUGCACUUGGGCGACAAGCGGUGGUGGACAGUGGGCUUUUCUGAAUUCCUCUUGCAUUUGUCCACAGCCCAGAGAUGCAGAGACUGUAGACCAUGCUAGUGCUUCAUUUGUCCAUUGUGUACAUAAUGCUUCUUCAUCAAAGAUAGCUGUUGUCCCUACACAACCAAUACUGGGGGAAAAAGGGGAGUGAGAGCGAGUGAUGCAAGUAUGACUGAAUAGCAGUCGAGUACAGCUAGCUAAUUGCAGCUUCAUGUAAUCUCUUUCAUAGCUGUUAUCAUAACUGUAUAUAUUUCCAGCCCAAUUCGUCUAUCUUUUCCGGCCUCCUGUCUUUGCAGCUGCCUCCUCUUCUCUCCUUCCUGAUGGCUGCAAAUCUCUGCUUAUCACCCGUUUUCAUGCUGUGUUUUGUCUGUCUCUUUGUGUUCAUCCCUGUAUCGGCUUCUUGGCUGCAUGUGGCAGUUUCUUAUUUCCUGGACCUUGUGAGAGUCUUCAGUCCGAGCUGUUUGCUUCAGUUAGCAUGUGCAACCUCUCGUAUUAUUUUGCUUUUAUGGGUGAUUUAAUUUUACACAUGUUUACACCGAGGAGUAGUUUUGCAAACUAAAUUUGUCAGUACAGAUGUGCAAUUGCUAUGUGAGGCAGUAAGAAUUAAGACAAUUAUUUAUUUAUCAAAUUUCUUUUUGUAUGAAUGUAUCCAUCCACCACAUGAAUUUUUCAUGCAAGCUCAUCUUGAAAAAACCAUUCCCUCCUCCCGGGAAGGAUUUGAACUCUUUGGGGAAUUCCCCCAAAUUCUUGUUGUUUUUUUUUCUUUAAUUGAACUCCGCCAUGUAAGGAGAGCUCCGUCUACAAUAUUGAUUGCGGAAAAACACGCAGACCUGUCAAUCUCUCUUUUCCCAAGGCAAAACUCUCUUAUUGUCCUUUUCUGCCAGGGUAUAAUCUCCCCAAAGACAGACUUCAAACAGUUAAGCUUCUUUCCAUUGUAUUGGGACUAUGUGUAGUGCUCCACUUUACAUUCACAUUUAACAGGUUUCAAGCUUCAGUGAUAAACCGGCAACGUUUCUCCUUCAUGACAGCUGUUUGACAGCAUUUGAAAAUGGAUAAAAAAUGGAAAAUUACCCUACUGAGGAAACAUCCCCUUCUCUUCGUAACUCAGGCUGGGACAUGGCAGGAAUGAAAUAACGCGCUUAUUACAUUCCGCACACCGAAUGCAAAAUGCAUUGCCACCCUCUAUUCCACUUGAUUUGAUAAUCUAGUACAAUUUAGGUCCCUUACAAAUUAAAUUGUUCGGAAACUUGGUUCGCUGCCUAAACUCUGUGCUAGAUUGUGCUACUUAAUGACGCUUUUCUUUCUUUUGGUGUUUUAUCUUUGGGGUAAAUAAUUCAGCCAAAUAAACCCUGUGAUCUGCAAGGUUAAUUGACACCCAUGUUAAUUCACAGCUUGUGUGCAGCACCCACAUUUGUCCGUUCUGCACAGAGUCCUGGAGCAUCACCUGAUCUCUGUUCUCCAUGGCUCACUGGAAAAGUUCUUACAUUGCCAGAAGCUCUGGUCGUUGAAAAUACCACUAUUGCUGCCGUGUGGGCAAGGUCUGAGCUCCACAUGCUUGUUUGCUUUCCCUCAAGUAGUUACUCAACUGAUUGCUGGGAAAAUCUUAGGAUGAAUGCACCUAGAUCUAUUUCUUUUAUUGGAAAUCUAUUUCUAUUAUUGGAAAAAAGAAGAAUGGAAAAAAUGCUGUAAAAAUAUACAAGCGCAUUAUUUGGGGGUUAUAUUCACAGGUGACACGUCUGGAUGAAUGUAUUCUUAUUUGUUAUUAAAUCGUUGAGGUGGUCUCCCUCCCCACACCUGACGUUUAUUGGAAAAAAGAAAAAGUAAUUGAAAAGGAUUUGGCCAGUUCCCCGCCUUGUGUUCGAGUGUUAUAUAACAGAUACCUCCACCAGCCCGCUCGCUCUGUCUCUCUCUGCUUUUGGGCUAGCACACAGUUUAUUGGCUAUCAAUAAAACAUAAGAAUUACUCCUGGUAUAACAAUAGCACCUCCCUGCAACCUUCAGCCUGCUUAGCUCCCAGGAACAGCGUGCUAAUGAGAGUGUGCUGCCUUUUGGGCAGAUGCUAGGAUGUUGUGCUGGGCUGAUAGCUGCGUCUCCUGGAUCAAACACUGCGCUGGGAUGACUCAUGCAUUUUACUAAUUUAUAAGAACAGUCUUCCUUGAAAUCCCCAUGUAAAUAUUAUCGCCCUGUUCUCUGUGAGUGACUGCAGCCUUGAAGUCAACAGAAGUAAUGGGCACUCCGCAUGGAAUAACGAGUCACAGGCAUAUAUUCCUUUUCAUCCUCCAGGUGGAAUAGCUGAAUUAUGGGUUGUUUUCUCUGUUCUAAAGUUGUAUUUUUCCCAAGUACUGUCGGAAUGCGAGGGCCACGUAGCACAGAGUGAGCUGCAGGAUGUCACCAAAAGGGCCGAAUCUUGCUGCCGUGAAGUGAGGCCCGAGCUGUACCACAGACCUGGCAGCUUGAUGAAUGCAAACUUAAAAUUAGGGCUCACUUAUGGCAAUCAUUACAGUGUCCUUUGCAAGACGGCCACUGAACAGGACAGAUGUCACAUUCACAGCCCCCUGGAAACAAGGCUUUUGAAAGCCAGACGGGCCUCAGUGCCUUUCCUUUUCCACUUUGAUUGAAUAGAUGUUUGCAUCUAAGUGUUUCAGAUUUCCUGAUUAGUACUGGUGUUUCAUGUCCCUGGAUUGGUCUGUGCAAAUAAGGAUGCUCAGGCACUGGCGUGCUUAGAUGCAGAACAUCGGAUACCCCAUUAUAAUUCCUGGAGGUAGUGGGUAAACCCAAGAAUGAAGACAUGGUUCAUGUCAUUCCUCACUGAAAUAGUGUGCUUUAGUUGAGCACAAGACCAGUUUUCUGAACUGCAAAGCCUCUUCCAUGGUCUGUUUCGUUGCCACCUCUUCCUGUGGACUGAUAAGCAGGGCUGUGCCCAGCAUGAUGUCCUCACACAGCCCUGGAGUCCUCCAGGAUGGGAUAGGAAAACUCACUGUCACAUCUCUCUCCACUGGCUCUAAAGGGAGCACAGAUCUUUAGGUAAAAGGGAGAAUAGAUCUUUAGGUAGCUAAAAAUAAAUGAGAAGAUCCCAUACAAAGUAUUACUCUCCCCUAACUGGAACUGAGCCUGUUUUUUGUGAGAAAUGAAAAGUGCUGAGGGGCAGCUGAGAUGUAAGAUCUGGAAGUUUCAUGUCUCAUUACUGUCAUUCAUAUCUCAAACUGUGACAAAUCUGUAUGUGCUGCCAGUAGUAUUCCAAGAUAAACAGAAAUAUUUUCUCCCCCAGGCCUAUUAAGUAAGACAUUCCAUGCAGCUUCUCUUCCCUCGGACACAACCAGGAUCUCUCUGGACUCAGACUAGAUACCAAGGAGGCCACACAGCCUUUGCUCAGUGCUUUCUAUAUGCAACUUAGAGUUCAGCUUCAUUUUAACCCCCCUUUUUUUUUUUUUUAAACCAUAUUCUGAGCUGACACAAGUCUGGCACCAACUCCACGUUGCUCAAGGACUGAAGUAGGUCAGGUAGGACUGACCUAAGGCAAAGGGGAAGAAGAACAAAACUUGGGCCCAAAGCAUCCUUAGGUCUUCUGAUACUCCACCUCUCCUGCAUUUGCUCAUCUUUAGAGACCUGCCCAUGUGCUGGAGGGCAUUAUUCUCGGAACUGACCUGUCCUGAGGAGGUAACUGUCCCAGGAUGGGCUCUGCGGUUUGAGGCAGAAUCCUUCAUAUCCUGACAAUGUCUCUAGGCUGAAUAACCCCCUUCUGUGCAUUGCUGUUCAGCUAUACAGAUGAAGCUGGUUGCAGCUUGUUGACAAAUAAAGUAGUUUCUGGCUACGUAGAGAAAGUACAUGAAAUCUGCAGGAGAAAUAGAAGCAUUUCCCUGAAUAAAAAGUCCAUUCAAUUUAAAGUUAUUGUGAUCAAAACUGCAUUCAGAUAAUUACUGUCAUUUAAAGGUGUUUCUUUUUCAGGGGGUAGUAUGAGUAUGUCUUUUGGAAAUGUUACUAAAGCUUUCACUUUGGGAAAACCUUUCUGCCAUACAUGACUGUGAGCUGCUCUCUUGUAAUUACAGCCCAUCUACUUGCUCUCUCCAAAUAUCUCUAAUAAAGAGACAACAGACAGUGGUGCAUAUUGUUAUUUGCACAUCUGACCCAUGUGUGUGUCAAAGCUGUAAUGACUUCCAAAAAUCAGUGUAUUAUUCCCUUGUAAAAUGCAUUUGCCUGUCAUGAGGACUGUUCAAGAUUUCAAAUCCACCAGAGGUCUUGUAAUUCCUGCUGACACUGAAUGGGAUUCAGAUGUCCAAAUGCAUACUGAAAAACCUGACCUACAGAUGUAAAAAAAUGGUCUGUUUUUUUGGAAGUGCUGUUCACACACAAUCCAUCCUGAAGCUAGUAUGGUCUUGAGAAUGCUCAGCUUCCCCGGAAAUCAGGCUUUGGUACACGCAGACAAGCAAACACCCUUAAUAAUAGUGUAUUUCUUCCCAAAGUGCUUCUGAAAGAGCCUCUUAAAAACAUGAGAAUAGCAAAGGUUUUGGGUUUGUGGUUUUUUUUUUUUUUUUUCAAAAUUCAUAGCAAGUUUUUUAGAACCUGUAACAAGUGUGCAAACCAUCAGUUAAAAACACAACAGAAAUCAGCUGUUAUCUGUGUUCUGGGCAUUCAAACUCCUACUUUCUGUGUAGACAAGCUAGUGGGACUCUAGUGUAGUGUCUCUAUAGCGGUCAGGAGCUGGAGCAUACGAUGUUCAAGGAUAGGCUGGUAGAGCAGGUUUUCUUAUCUUAGAAAAGAGGAAAGAUGAGAGAGGCCUACUACACUGGAGGAAAUGACAACUGAGUUAAAGGAACCAUCUUCUCAAUGAGUAUGUUGAAGCAUUGAAGCAAGCUUUCCAGAGAAGCUCUCAAAUCACAACCCUUGGAAAUACUUCUAAAAUUUUGGUUAAAAAAAAUGUGACUCAGCUACACAAGGCCCUGAGCAGCCUGCUCUAACUUUGCAGUUGCCCCUUCAGGGCUUUGCACCAGAUGACAUUCAGAGGCGCCUUCCAGCCUAAAUUCAACAAAUGGCCUGGUGAAUGGGAACUGUUGAAUCACGGCCUGAACCUCUGAUUGACCACCUGAGAUGAGCGUUGAGUCAGCCGUAGGGGCACAGGUGAACGCAAUUUCACCUGAGUGACCAGCAGGGGUGUAGUCUGGCUCCACCUCUCCCUGACCCCAUUUAAGGGCUGACGCUCAAGGAGGAAGGAUCUCUAUCUGGAGAUCACCUCUCUUGGAGCCCUUCUGUGAGCCCAGGACAUGGUGUGCCUGCAGAACAGCCCUGCUUCCCACACCUUCUUGCAGCCCCAGAGGGAACCCCCAUGGACUGGGCUGUGCAGCUGCCCGCAGCGCUGGAAUAUCGUCUGAUGUUUGCCUGACUCAGGUCACUGCACAAAGACAUGCCAGCCUGCCAGGCUCAUUUGUUAUUUUGGAAAUGACCCGCCACGGUUCCUGCACUGCUAAUUGGCCAUGAUCCAUUUCCUGUUUUAUGAAUUCAUCUCCUGGUCCUGCUGCCUGGUCCAAGGGGUGCCAAGUACAUCAAAACUGCAUCUCUGGAGUGAAAGGAAGGAAGAAAAUAAGACUGAAGGCAAUAGAGUUACACUGAAGAUGGCUUUGGCCCAAGGGUUUAUGCAAAACAGAUUUGUGAUGUUGCAAAUUUGUAUUUUUCCUUUCUGUUUCAAAAUGGGAAAGAGCAGAAACAGUUGAUACUGUCAUGAAAUUUCAAGACUGAAACACAAAGUAUUGGAAACUUGAGUGUCCUUAAUAGUGCUAAUCCAAGCCUGCUGGACCUGUGGACCAUUUUUGCAAUCAAAUGCUUAAGAAAUGCAGUGCAGUGAACUGAAUACUAUAAUUCUAACAGGAAAUUUCUCACUAAAAUCAGUGAGAAUUUUGUCUAUGUGAGGCUUACAAGAUUGGUUAGUACUUGAAGAACAACUUUUCUUCUUCCAUAAAGAUCCUCGCUGAUGGGUUCCUAUACUUCACCAGCUUCUCUUCUUUUCCUCUGUCAGAUUACAACAGAGGAUGGCAUGCUCUGAGUGCAGCUCCAAUACGUGGCACGUGGCUGUAUCUUUUGUUCUUAAAUUACAUGACUCUUGAGACAAGAAAACCUGCCAGAAAUCAGCCUUUGGAUGAGGAAGGCCAGGUCCCAGCUGAACCAAGCAGCACAAGUAGGAACUAUACCAAAGAAGUGGGCUCACCCAGAGCAUUCAUUGAAGUGGUGCAGAGCAUUGGGCACAUGCUGGAUCUUCCACAAAGCUUGGAGAGCUGGGCAGCCUCCAUUCCUAUCAACAUCUUCCUCACCUUUCCUCCUGUGAAGAGACAAGGAACCACCAACACAACUGCAGAACCCCAUGGACUCCCGUAUCUGCACAAGGAGGAGACUGUGUGACCCUGAUCUUGGCCAGCAUAGCACAAGGCUCCCCAGCAGUCACCUGCUUGAACCUAACACAUCACGGUCAGCUUCUAGUGAUAAUACAGCAUUCCUUAAUUUUGAAAGCAAUUAUGGGUCUGAGUUCAGGUUUUUUUUUCCCCAGAUUAAAGUCAAUAAAACACUCGGACAUCCGGAUUCCAAUCACAUGCAUAUUACUAACUGUGAUAUUUGUAUCGCUGAUCCAGAAGCCAAUCACAACACUAACUCACUCUAUUGCUAAAAUAAGGAUAGCUUCCUCAUAAGCCAAAAUAACAGCCUGUUAUCCCUUCCAAAGCCACCGUUUUUCUGGCCUCGCAGGAACAAAGGAACAGGAGGUAGGCAAUACUCUUAUGGGGAAAGUAAACUAUCCCUCGCACAAGAAGCUUUUAAACCUAAGCACAUGUACUUGACAUACUCAUUUUCUGAAACUCUAUAUUUUCAUGUAUCCCUCCUCUUAUGACAUACCUCUUACAGUAUGUUGGAAUCAGUCCUGUCUUAUCAUCAUUGCCAUGGUUACCUUAUCAUCAUUACAGUAUAUAUGUGUUGCUAUAAUACUACUGUGGAUGUCAUAUCAAAAUUCCCUAAAGCAAAAUGAUCCCAGAACUUACUCUGUACACAUCUCAGGUUGCUAAGCAUUGAUAGCUUUAUUAUAUGUUUCCCAGCUAAAACAAAGUUAGCUUGUAUGCCUCUGCUGACAUACAGCUCUUUGUCCUUUCUGGUAGAAGGCAAAUUAUUCCAUGUAUCAUCUUCACUGUAAGCUACUUCCUUACAUCAAAUAAAAAUUCCACUCUUGACUGGAUAUCUCAGCAACCUGAUUUUCCUUUACUUAUAUUACUGUAUUACUAAAAUUCACAAGAAUGUUGAUACUGGAGGCAAGGAGCAUGUUAGUCAGUCAAGUUAAGCACUGUGAUAUUGCAGAUACAGAGGUCAUGAUACGAAGAUGUGGCACAGCUCAAAACCCAGGGCAGAGUAUAUACGGGCUUGGGAUAAAGAAAACCCUUUGCUAGGGUUGUGUGGCUGUGGGAUGAUCUUUCAGUGUAGAGUGGAGGAGCACAGAUGUUAACAUCUGGUUUUAAUCCAAAAUCUGUAUUACCCUCCAAUGUGCGCUGGGGACUAUGAAUGCAAAACUCUUAACAUAAGCAGAAUUCCUUAUGUGUAAUAAGGAUUUUGGUAAUGCGUUUGGCUCUAUGUGGAGGAUGCACAAGCCUUGUAUGUCACAGACUAGAUCUUGCCACAUGCUUCCACUCCUCUCUGGAUAGACUCACUCAUAGGAUGGAUUGCCCCUGCUUUUUUCAUGGCACUUUCCCACUGACGAGGUGUCUGGGGAAGCUGGGUACAGAUAUAACUUAAAUAUCUUUUACCUUCGGUGACUGAAUGCUCAUUCUUCUGAAAGACAAAAGCAAAGCCUUGACUGGAGAAGAGAAUGUGUACACACGUAAUUGUGCAUCUGUCUAUGUAACCAUGUUUUAUGUAUGGAAUCGCAAGAAAACAUGUCUAACUCAAAUGAUGAUUGAACUGAUACUCAACUAAGUUCUAACUACCAGAUUUUCCAUCGUGUUCAUCCUUAUAACAGCUCCUUACUACAUUCUCAAGCAGAGGCUUUGAAUAUGAGGCUAAGAGUACAGUGGAGUGAAGAAAGUGAUUCAUUACUGGGAAUAAAAAACCCAGUCUUCAUGGAUGAUACAUUGCCUAUAUACAUGAUUACAGGUUUAGAAACAAGAGGUUACCUACUGUUCCACGGCUGUAAUCAAAUAUUACCAGACUGAAGAAAAGCAAAUACACUCAAGAUUUUCAGGAGAAUUCUCAUGAUUAAGAAGAGUAAAAUCUUAAAUAAACAGAGGUAAAUAACAGAACAUUUGUGAUAGAGGAUAUGAUGGUAAUUGCAGCUGGGAAACUUUUCUUCUUUUCUUCUUAAGCUAAAGAUGACUGGGAAUUUUUUUUGGUAACUACAGGAGCAGUUAACUGGCCAUUUUUUAUGAGGAAAUGGAAACAAGGAUUCAAGGCCAUCGUGAAGACUAUGUAAGGUAAAACCUCUCCUCGUGUUCAAAUCAUAUGAUACUACCCAGAACUGAGAGGUAUCCUGUCAUCCCACUAUGCCUGCAUUCAUGGGGCGUGGAAAAAAGAGAUGAUUAUGUGGCAAAAUUGUCGUAGCACUAUAUGGGCUCUCUGGGGCAAGCUGGGGCAGCAGUGGGGGUGAGUGUGACAGGGCAGAUUUCCCCAUCAGCAGCAACUCUCCAUUCAUAAAAGCCCGAGUUUCUCAGGUGACACCUAUUUUCCUUUCUUUAGCCGUAGCAGACAGAUGUGCAGAUUGUGUGCUUAUGCCAAACAGUAUUCAAGGGUCCAUGCUGUCUGGAAAACUGCAUUCACACUGAAGCCAUAUUGUUCCCUCCCUGAAUUACAAGCUGGAUUCCCCAGCUGGUGAGCUGCUUUGCUGCAGGCUUGCGUAGGCCUGUGAGCCAACUUGGAUAAUAGCAGAGCUAUAACCAGGACUGUGAUCUCAGACCCUGACCCAGCGUGAAUUCUAAGCAUCGUUCCUCUUUCCUUAGUGUUAUACACUCAAUCUGCUGCUGCUUGGCAGGCUCUUAAAUCACAGUUCUCACACCCGAAUAGGCCAACUUCUGGCAGCCACUGCUGCACAAAUGGUAGCAUUGGAGAAGAAAAUCCUUACUACCUGAGUGUUUGAAGGCCUGAUGUGGAAAUAUCUGGAAGAACUGAACUUCUCCAUGAGCACUACUGAUUUCAUUAUUAUUUUUUAAUUCAUAUUUGUUGAAAACUAAUUCAGCCAGGGCAUUGGUGGCCUUUUUUGGUUGGUUGGUUGGUUGGUUUGGUUUGGUUUUUUGUUGUUUUGUUUUGUUUUAUUUGUUUUUUGCCACAAGCGUGCAUUGCUGGCUCCUUGUCAGUGUGGUGUGCACCAGAACCCUCAUGUCCUUCUAAGCAGAAUUACCUUCCAGUUAGUUGGAGCACAGCAUGUAGUGGCUCCCGGGGAUGUCCCUGCCCCAGGCCAGGACUUUGGUUUUCCCCUUGUUCCAGACGUUCUUCUCACCCCAUUUCUACACCCUGGGGAGGUUCUUCUGGAUGGCAGUACAGCCCUCUUCUCUAUGAGUACUGAGCACAUCAUUCAGCUGGUUUUCAAUCCACUUCUUCAACUUGAUGUAGUUUGUAAUUCCUGUUGGUAGCCACGUGACAGAGUCUGUGCUGCUCGCUGUUGUUGUGCAAGUCUCCACCCUUUUCCAACCAGGUCCAGACAGAGUGAGUUAGAUUGGUGAGUAACAUGCAGUCUGUCCUGGCUUCCUGGAAAAUAAGGUUUGUAACCUGAAUUAAAGAGCUCUGGUGAAUCGCACAACAUAGUAACUGAGUUAAAUGCAAAUUACAUCAACAUUUACGAAGUUUCAAAAAUGCAAGUGCUCUUAUAAAUGAACAGGAAUAGAAGUAAACUCAUUUUCCAGGUGUGCUAUUGGGCUUCAUCUGCAUCCUACUGUUUUGUACUAUCUGUGUAACAGGAUACAUAGGUUUACCCAGCUCUCAGUGGCACAAAGACAGGAAAGAGAGGCAGGUUCCCCAGUGGGAUUGGAGCCAGAUCCAGCCAUGAAAGUCCCUGCAGGAUGGGCUGUCAAAUAGAUGUAGAGAUCUUACACAACCAACCCAUUCCCAAUACAGAGAAAAUGGUUUCCGCAUUAUUCCUGAAAGUUACUUAAGAGGGCUCAGUUUUUUACUCUGUAACGUGCUCUGGAAUACCUUGGUGUGAUAUAUUUGAGCUCAUUUGUUAAAAUAAAGUACUUCAAAUACCGUAAAAUACUAAAUGCUUAGGCUGAGUCUCAUCUCUGUUCUUCCAUUCUAUAGUAUCAGGAACAUGGCUGCAGGAAAUCAGAAUGGCAAUGUGCAGCGCCAGCAUCAACAAGAAGCAGGUCAGCACAGUUUCACAAACAAUUGGGUGUAUUGGUGCUUUUGCCUUGGAAUUUGCUUUUUAAUCACCUUCAGCUUCAUAAAAUUAUAUAGAUACUUUGUUAUAUCUUCUUUUCCUCCUUCUAGAAGUAUAGAAACAUGUAGAAAGGAAGGGACUGAAAUGUGCCUGAAAAUUAUGCACAAAAUCUAGAAUUAUGAUUUUCCUUUGGGGGGGGGGGGAAGGUUCCUAUCCCUAUUCAAAAAUAUGAGGAGGAAGUCACUGUGGAUAGUCAAUAGUUUUUGGAUUGGCUAAAGCUGAUGAGCGACCACCUGAGUGUGCCCUCAGCACUGAGUCCUGCAGCCUGAUGCACAUCUCACACGUGGCUGCAGUCCAUUGAGAUGGAUGGCCAUGCUUCUGGUCACUGCAUGGCAUGCUGGGGCUGUGCUCUGUACAGAUCCUACCUGCUUAUUAAAAAUGAAGGUAGCUGUAUUUUGUUCUGCUUUAAACAAAUCAGUGACCCUGAAUUUUCUAGCAAAUCCCCAGACGUGGUCUUCUGUGGAAAAAAAAAAUGGGUCUUUCUUGUGUUCAUUAAAAAUGAAAAAAAACUUAGCAGCUGGGAUAAUAGCAUUUGUCAGUUCCAUUUACAGGUUACUUAGCUCAGCUGAAUUAAUGUCUGCCAAAUGGGCAAAUCUGAAAUACUGCUUUUCCCUCAUCCCCUUUAAAAAACCCGUGUCAUAAGGCAUACUUAAAAAGCACAGGUAGAAGAUCAUCUCAGCUCUCCACUUUGACCCCUUGCAUUUACAGAAUUCCUUAUUAUAUCAUCCCCACCAUUAUCUUACCUAACAUAGUCAUAAUGAUCCAGAGAUUUUGAGUCAGACAAACAGUGGCCUGUCUUUGCUACUGCCUAAGUAUCC
RNAcentral lists this long non-coding RNA (17037 nucleotides) under Gallus gallus (chicken). RNAcentral describes it as "lncRNA (ENSGALG00010004718.1)". Lineage: Eukaryota; Metazoa; Chordata; Aves; Galliformes; Phasianidae. The record is from RNAcentral.